UGCGUAGGCGGGGCAAUUAGUCAGUGGUGAAAUCCUGCGGCUUAACCGUAGAACUGCCAUUGAUACUGUUGUCCUUGAGUAUAGUUGAGGUGGGCGGAAUGUGUAAUGUAGCGGUGAAAUGCAUAGAGAUUACACAGAACACCAAUUGCGAAGGCCGCUCACUAAGCUAUAACUGACGCUGAGGCACGAAAGCGUGGGGAGCGAACAGGAUUAGAUACCCUGGUAGUCC
RNAcentral lists this ribosomal RNA (229 nucleotides) under uncultured bacterium. RNAcentral's name for it is "partial 16S ribosomal RNA". It matches the Rfam family "Bacterial small subunit ribosomal RNA", at positions 568 to 796 of the family's 1533-position model. The record is from RNAcentral.